GGAGAAGCCUCCCUACCACCAGCGCUCUCCGGACGCAGGGAUUGCCCCCACCAAGCCCCAGAGCUGGGAGUGGGCAGGACGGGGCAGGUUUUGCAUCUGAAGACGCCUCUGACUCACCCUGGAUCCACGCUGACCUGGAGCGGACUAAUUGUCUGAAAAGGGCUCAGGCCAGUUGCACGUGUGAUAUGUGCACGUCCCUCCAUGUGUAGAUACCUCAAUACACAUCUAGAAUUGGGUGGAAACCUCUCAUAAAAGGAGGCUCAAGCUGCACCGCUGGGCGGCAGGCAGGACAGCAACCUGAACACAGCCUCUGUUCUAUUUCCCCUUCAGCGCCAGGGAGGGCAGGACAGAAACCUGGCGUUGGUGAGAUUUUGUGGCUGAUCCCACAGCUUCUUGGGCAGAUCUGGGGCCUUCUGUGCCAGAGUUUGUGGAAUCUCACACAGGCAAGAGUUUUAAGCCAGUAAAUACAGGACAUCGGCAUCAGAGACUCAGAACUGGGCUCCUGGAAGAGGCACCACAGGAUGGAAGCAGGAAGCCAAGUGCACGGCAGACCACGCCGCAUCGCGUUCCCGGCAGGCCACUCUUUAAACCCGAUCUGUUCUUUUCCAGGCCUUAGCUAAACCAGGCCACCUAAAUACCUGUCAUUAUCUGUGAUGAUUUCGCAUUAAUUGGGGUUUUUGUCCCUUCUGUUCCUUUUCUUAAAGGCUGGCUUCUUAAACACUU
Molecule: long non-coding RNA, 723 nt
Filed under: Homo sapiens (human)
Lineage: Eukaryota; Metazoa; Chordata; Mammalia; Primates; Hominidae
Description: HSALNT0360911
Source: RNAcentral